GGACCCUUAGCUCAGGGGGAGAGCGCUUCCUUGACACGGAAGAGGUCGGUGGUUCAAAUCCACCAGGGUCCACCA
This 75-nucleotide transfer RNA is filed under the name Egibacter rhizosphaerae. RNAcentral describes it as "tRNA-Val". It matches the Rfam family "tRNA". Rfam says of the family: Transfer RNA (tRNA) molecules are approximately 80 nucleotides in length. Their secondary structure includes four short double-helical elements and three loops (D, anti-codon, and T loops). The record is from RNAcentral. Lineage: Bacteria; Bacillati; Actinomycetota; Nitriliruptoria; Egibacterales; Egibacteraceae.